This 234-nucleotide ribosomal RNA is filed under the name uncultured bacterium. RNAcentral describes it as "partial 16S ribosomal RNA". It matches the Rfam family "Bacterial small subunit ribosomal RNA", at positions 15 to 239 of the family's 1533-position model. The record is from RNAcentral.
GAUCAUGGCUCAGGAUGAACGCUAGCGGCAGGCUUAACACAUGCAAGUCGGAGGGGCAGCAUAAUGGAUAGCAAUAUCUAUGGUGGCGACCGGCGCACGGGUGCGUAACGCGUAUGCAACCUACCUUUAACAGGGGGAUAACACUGAGAAAAUUGGUACUAAUACCCCAUAAUAUCAUAGAAGGCAUCUUUUAUGGUUGAAAAUUCCGAUGGUUAGAGAUGGGGCAUGCGGUUG